This 433-nucleotide ribosomal RNA is filed under the name uncultured Coprococcus sp. RNAcentral's name for it is "partial 16S ribosomal RNA". It matches the Rfam family "Bacterial small subunit ribosomal RNA", at positions 341 to 792 of the family's 1533-position model. Lineage: Bacteria; Bacillati; Bacillota; Clostridia; Lachnospirales; Lachnospiraceae. The record is from RNAcentral.
ACGGGAGGCAGCAGUGGGGAAUAUUGCACAAUGGGGGAAACCCUGAUGCAGCAACGCCGCGUGAGUGAAGAAGUAUUUCGGUAUGUAAAGCUCUAUCAGCAGGGAAGAUAAUGACGGUACCUGACUAAGAAGCUCCGGCUAAAUACGUGCAGCAGCCGCGGUAAUACGUAUGGAGCAAGCGUUAUCCGGAUUUACUGGGUGUAAAGGGUGCGUAGGUGGCAUGGUAAGUCAGAUGUGAAAUACCGGGGCUCAACCCCGGAGCUGCAUUUGAAACUGCCAGGCUGGAGUGCAGGAGAGGCAAGCGGAAUUCCUAGUGUAGCGGUGAAAUGCGUAGAUAUUAGGAGGAACACCAGUGGCGAAGGCGGCUUGCUGGACUGUUACUGACACUGAGGCACGAAAGCGUGGGGAGCAAACAGGAUUAGAUACCCUGGUA